GGGGUUGUAACUCAGACGUAGAGUGCUCGCUUCGCAUGUGAGAAGACUGGAGUUCAAUCCUCCGCAACUCUA
Non-coding RNA from Daphnia pulex (common water flea), 72 nucleotides. Lineage: Eukaryota; Metazoa; Arthropoda; Branchiopoda; Diplostraca; Daphniidae. The record is from Rfam.